Molecule: long non-coding RNA, 253 nt
Filed under: Chinchilla lanigera (long-tailed chinchilla)
Lineage: Eukaryota; Metazoa; Chordata; Mammalia; Rodentia; Chinchillidae
Description: lncRNA (ENSCLAG00000026624.1)
Source: RNAcentral
UUGGUGGUGAACUUUGUACCUCGACUCUGUCGCAACCCCCAAAGUUUACUCAACUCCACCUGGCAAUUCAGCUCUUCAAGAUAAAGGAGGUUUUCUCUGGGGGAAACCAGUAGCAGUUUAUCUUCUUUUUGUUCUGCUGCUGGUAUACAGCUGGUUGGCCAUUGAACAGAGUCAUCUGCCAGUGAGAGGUCCCAUAAUCAUUCUCUUGGAGAAAGUGACAAGGAAAGCAAAUGUGGAAGACAGCAGGGUGUGA